UUGAACGCUGGCGGCGUGCCUUACACAUGCAAGUCGAACGGCAGCAUGAUCUAGCUUGCUAGAUUGAUGGCGAGUGGCGAACGGGUGAGUAAUACAUCGGAACGUGCCCUGUAGUGGGGGAUAACUAGUCGAAAGAUUAGCUAAUACCGCAUACGACCUGAGGGUGAAAGUGGGGGACCGCAAGGCCUCAUGCUAUAGGAGCGGCCGAUGUCUGAUUAGCUAGUUGGUGGGGUAAAGGCCCACCAAGGCGACGAUCAGUAGCUGGUCUGAGAGGACGAUCAGCCACACUGGGACUGAGACACGGCCCAGACUCCUACGGGAGGCAGCAGUGGGGAAUUUUGGACAAUGGGGGCAACCCUGAUCCAGCAAUGCCGCGUGUGUGAAGAAGGCCUUCGGGUUGUAAAGCACUUUUGUCCGGUAAAG
Molecule: ribosomal RNA, 423 nt
Filed under: uncultured bacterium
Lineage: Bacteria
Description: bacterial SSU rRNA
Rfam family: Bacterial small subunit ribosomal RNA
Source: RNAcentral